RNAcentral lists this ribosomal RNA (504 nucleotides) under uncultured bacterium. Its description in RNAcentral is "partial 16S ribosomal RNA". It matches the Rfam family "Bacterial small subunit ribosomal RNA", at positions 28 to 506 of the family's 1533-position model. The record is from RNAcentral.
GACGAACGCUGGCGGCGUGCCUAAUACAUGCAAGUAGAACGCACAGUUUAUACCGUAGCUUGCUACACCAUAGACUGUGAGUUGCGAACGGGUGAGUAACGCGUAGGUAACCUGCCUGGUAGCGGGGGAUAACUAUUGGAAACGAUAGCUAAUACCGCAUAAUAUUAAUUAUUGCAUGAUAAUUAAUUGAAAGGUGCAAUUGCACCACUACCAGAUGGACCUGCGUUGUAUUAGCUAGUAGGUGAGGUAACGGCUCACCUAGGCGACGAUACAUAGCCGACCUGAGAGGGUGAUCGGCCUCACUGGGACUGAGACACGGCCCAGACUCCUACGGGAGGCAGCAGUAGGGAAUCUUCGGCAAUGGACGAAAGUCUGACCGAGCAACGCCGCGUGAGUGAAGAAGGUUUUCGGAUCGUAAAGCUCUGUUGUAAGAGAAGAACGGGUGUGAGAGUGGAAAGUUCACACUGCGACGGUAUCUUACCAGAAAGGGACGGCUAACUACGU